RNAcentral lists this ribosomal RNA (801 nucleotides) under Arthrobacter sp. SUK 1205. RNAcentral describes it as "bacterial SSU rRNA". It matches the Rfam family "Bacterial small subunit ribosomal RNA", at positions 665 to 1461 of the family's 1533-position model. The record is from RNAcentral. Lineage: Bacteria; Bacillati; Actinomycetota; Actinomycetes; Micrococcales; Micrococcaceae.
AAUUCCUGGUGUAGCGGUGAAAUGCGCAGAUAUCAGGAGGAACACCGAUGGCGAAGGCAGGUCUCUGGGCAUUAACUGACGCUGAGGAGCGAAGCAUGGGGAGCGAACAGGAUUAGAUACCCUGGUAGUCCAUGCCGUAAACGUUGGGCACUAGGUGUGGGGGACAUUCCACGUUUUCCGCGCCGUAGCUAACGCAUUAAGUGCCCCGCCUGGGGAGUACGGCCGCAAGGCUAAAACUCAAAGGAAUUGACGGGGGCCCGCACAAGCGGCGGAGCAUGCGGAUUAAUUCGAUGCAACGCGAAGAACCUUACCAAGGCUUGACAUGAACCAGACCGGGCUGGAAACAGUCCUUCCCCUUUGGGGUUGGUUUACAGGUGGUGCAUGGUUGUCGUCAGCUCGUGUCGUGAGAUGUUGGGUUAAGUCCCGCAACGAGCGCAACCCUCGUUCUAUGUUGCCAGCGGUUCGGCCGGGGACUCAUAGGAGACUGCCGGGGUCAACUCGGAGGAAGGUGGGGACGACGUCAAAUCAUCAUGCCCCUUAUGUCUUGGGCUUCACGCAUGCUACAAUGGCCGGUACAAAGGGUUGCGAUACUGUGAGGUGGAGCUAAUCCCAAAAAGCCGGUCUCAGUUCGGAUUGGGGUCUGCAACUCGACCCCAUGAAGUCGGAGUCGCUAGUAAUCGCAGAUCAGCAACGCUGCGGUGAAUACGUUCCCGGGCCUUGUACACACCGCCCGUCAAGUCACGAAAGUUGGUAACACCUGAAGCCGGUGGCCUAACCCCUUGUGGGAGGGAGCUGUCCGAU